RNAcentral lists this ribosomal RNA (407 nucleotides) under Bacillus licheniformis. RNAcentral describes it as "bacterial SSU rRNA". It matches the Rfam family "Bacterial small subunit ribosomal RNA", at positions 412 to 828 of the family's 1533-position model. The record is from RNAcentral. Lineage: Bacteria; Bacillati; Bacillota; Bacilli; Caryophanales; Bacillaceae.
AGGUUUCGAUCGNAACUCUGUUGUUAGGAAAAACAGUCCGUUCAAUGGGCGGACCUUGACGGUCCUACCNAAAGCCACGGCUACUACGUGCCAGCAGCCGCGGUAUACGUAGGUGGNAGCGUUUGUCCGAAUUAUUGGGCGUAAAGCGCGCGCAGGCGGUUUCUUAAGUCUGAUGUUGAAGCCCCCGGCUCAACCGGGGAGGGUCAUUGGAAACUGGGGAACUUGAGUGCAGAAGAGGAGAGUGGAAUUCCACGUGUAGCGGUGAAAUGCGUAGAGAUGUGGAGGAACACCAGUGGCGAAGGCGACUCUCUGGUCUGUACUGACGCUGAGGCGCGAAAGCGUGGGGAGCGAACAGGAUUAGAUACCCUGGUAGUCACGCCGUAAACGAUGAGUGCUAGUGUUAGAGG